AAUAAGUGUAGUUUUGCACAAUUCACGUUCAACGUUUGACCGUUCGUCUUAUUUAAAACUUUUUUAUGAUUAGUAUUUUUAUUGCUAUUAGAUGAUAAAACAUAAAUAGUACUUUAUGUGUGACUAAAUAUUUUCAAUUUUUUCAAUAAGACGGACGGUUAAAUGUUGGGCAUGAAUAUAUCCACGGCUACACUUAUU
Molecule: non-coding RNA, 198 nt
Organism: Oryza glumipatula
Lineage: Eukaryota; Viridiplantae; Streptophyta; Magnoliopsida; Poales; Poaceae
Source: Rfam